AGCUACAUUUCUCUCUCAUUUUCUAAUCUGCUAGGGAGGGGGAGGGGGUAAUACAAACUCCUUUAUAAGUUUAUAGCAACAGACCAUCCAUUAAACCAAUGGCAAAAAAGGAGCAGAAGAUGCAAAAAGUUCAUUUCUUGACCUGAAACAAUGGCCCAAAAAAGGGGAAAAUUCAAUUUUUGCUACCUGGUAAGAAAACAAUAACAGAAGAUAAAAGAUUUGAUUUUUUCUAGCCCCAUCAACAGGAAAAAGAGACAAACAGAGAUAUAUACAAAGAAAUGAAAUUUCCUAAAUAGUUCACAAGUGUCACACUUAGGCUAAUCCGGUCUCGCACAUACAAAAUUAUGUUUAAUGGUUUACUUUAAACAAAAACUGUUUGUACAGACAAAUUAAGCAGCAAUGUUUUUAAUCAAAAUGUUACUUAGCUGAAAACCCGGAAAUUUUGAAAGAAAAAUCAAAUAAAUUUUCUGGGUAAAAUCUUUAUCAUGGAAGUUUCACCAAAAAAUUAGCAUGAAACCAAAUAAAUUACACUCUGCUACUUAAAGAAACAAAGUAUUCAAAAAACUCACCAUAGAUCUUCUUUCUUAUUCUCUCUCUAAACACUUGGAAAGUCUACCUGACUCUCUCUCUCUCUAGCUCAUUCCUACCCAGCGGAUACCAAAGCCUCUAUUAAAUCCUCUUCACGGGCUUUUGGUUUUAAUUAUAUAAAAAAGGUACUGUGGC
RNAcentral lists this long non-coding RNA (723 nucleotides) under Nicotiana tabacum (common tobacco). Its description in RNAcentral is "long non-coding RNA (NTAB_LNC009475)". The record is from RNAcentral. Lineage: Eukaryota; Viridiplantae; Streptophyta; Magnoliopsida; Solanales; Solanaceae.